Long non-coding RNA from Brassica oleracea var. oleracea, 1478 nucleotides. RefSeq lists it as uncharacterized. The transcript has 2 exons. The record is from RefSeq and is a predicted model, not a curated record. NCBI's taxonomy places the organism in Eukaryota, Viridiplantae, Streptophyta, Magnoliopsida, Brassicales, Brassicaceae.
ACCUCGAUGGCACUUCUAUACCGACGAAUGCUGAAGACACACCAUGGAAGGAACGUGAUGGUCUCGUCAAGAUGUGGAUCUAUGGUACCAUCUCCUCUUCUCUCCUCGAUACAGUCCUCAAAACUCGCUGCUCUGCUCGUGAUCUAUGGGUCACUAUUGAGAAUCUUUUCCGCGAAAACAAAGAGGCCCGUGCUAUUCAACUUGAAAACGAACUUCGAUCUCUCACCAUUGGCGAUAUGUCAGUCCAUGAGUACUGCCAAAAACUCAAGACUACCACGGAUCUCCUCGCCAACAUAAACUCUCCUGUUACAGAUAGAGCUGUGGUCAUGCACAUGUUGAACGUCUCUCGGAAAAGUUCGAUAACAUUCACAACGUUAUCAAACACAGAUCACCGUUUCCAUCCUUUUCUGUUGCUCGCUCGAUGCUGAUCAUGGAGGAGGAUCGGAUUAACAAACAUACCUAGAGCACUUCACCUCAAGUCCUGCACGCUGGCACUACGCAAGGUAACGUCCCACCUGGACAAACCUCUAACUACGUCAACAACCGUGGAGACCAGCACCAAGGCAAGGGUUUUGCUAAGUAACAGUUUCUAAUUGAUGUACCAGAUUUGUUGUGAACCUGUGUUGUUCAUGCAGACUAUCAAAGAUGAACAAGAAGAAACAAGAGGUGAUGAAGAGAGGGAUUCAGGUUUGUUCCUCUCGUUUUUGAACUUCUUCUCUGUUCUUACAACUCCUCAAUAUCAGUCAUGUUUUCUUUUCAUAUUAGCUCGGAGAAGCUGUGUAUGAAUACGCAAAGGGUGACUACAAACAGGCUCUAGAACUGCUAGGUUCAGAUUUUAACGCCUUUAAUUUGGUUACAAGGUAAAAUAAAUCUACAUCUAGUAACUCAAAAACUCUCUGGAUCAAACACAAUUGAUUCUGUUUGAUGGUUGAUAAUAGAUCAUUGGAGCAUCAGAUGAACAGAUUGAUGUCUUCAACGAAAUGUGGUGCCAGCUGUUGCUAAAGAUAGGCCAAUCCUCAACUGGUACGGCUUGUUGUAGAAUCUUAAAAACAGUAAUUACUUGUUUAGUAUAUAUAACUAUGAACGCUUUUGGCUCUGAUGUUAUGCAAGCCAAAGGAGUGAUAAAAGAGAGGAUCAAGGUCAGAGAUGGUGUUCCUUUCACGUGGCGUUUACUGGAGAAGAGUUGUGACAUGGAAGGCAAUGCAGAGGCUGAGAGUGCAGGAGAGAGAGCUAAGAAGCUGGAAUCUUCUUAUUUUUAACUAUGCUGUUGCUUCUUGAUAAUAACUUAAUAUGGUGUUUACACGUUUCUAAGAUGAAGGGUAAAAUCCCUUGGAAUAAGUGUGGUGUACAUACUGUUUUAAAAGUAAAGAAGAAAGACUUUUACUUGUGGCUUUAAGUUUUCUGUAAAUCCAUAUGUGAUCUGUAUAUAUAUAUUAUAGCUUAAAAGAUCUAUCUUAUGGCCACAAUCUGCAAUUCUA